GCUUUAACCUCUGAGCCACCAGGGAAGCCCUGGGUAUAGAUAGCCCCUACUGAAUUCAAGAUUUAAAAAAUAUUUUCCAGAGUUAUUGACAUAUAAUUGACAUAUCGCAUUGUAUACAUUUUAUAUAAUUUUUACUUGUUUAUUUGUCUGACUGUGCUGAGUCGUCUUAGCUGCGUGUGCUCUCUGCUCUCGUUGCAGAAGGUGGGGGCUCCUCUCUGGUUGCGGUGCGCGGGCUUCUCGCCGCAGCGGCUUCCUUUGUUGCGGAGCACCGGCUCUGGGCGCUCGGGCUCCCGCAGUUGCGGCUCCCGGGCUCUAGAGCGCAGGCUCAGUAGUUGUGGCGCCCGGGCUUCGCCGCCGCUCAGCGUGUGGGUUCUUCCCAGACCCGGGAUAGACCCCCGUGUCUCCUCCAUUGGCAUGCGUGCUUCAUCGCUCAGUCCUGUCCAACCCUUCGAGACCCUUUGGACCCCAGCCCGCCAGGCUCCUCUGUCCAUGAGAUUCUUCAGGCAAGAGUACUGGAGCAAGUUGCCAUUUCCUCAUCCAGGGCAUCUUCCCAGGCUGAGGAUUGAACCCCUGUCUCCUGCGUCUCCUGUAUCGACAGGCGGAUCCGUUACCGCUGCGCUAGCUGGGAAGCCCAGUUUUUAUGCCAGUACCAUGCUGUGUGACUGCUAUAGAUUUACUGUCAAGUUUUAAAUCAAGCACUUCAGCCUCGAGUGCUUGCUCAUCCCUAAUCUCAUCUGAUCCCUAUAACGGCCCAUGAGCUCAUCGAGAACACCCGCCGCCCUCUGACCCGAUGAAAGGGAGGUAAGCGCUCACACGGGCGCACUGAGAGAAAGAGACACAGAAAGGAGACAGGAGGACCCAGAUCUCAGCGGAAAGGCUCAGGAUUAAGUUCGUUCUCCCUGACUUUUCAUCUGCAUCCUUUUAUCGUCCAUCUGUCUGACAUGCGGUCCUGGUCCGAGGUUGCAGGAGGUGGAUGGAGAGUGUUCAUACAGGGCGGGGGGGCUUGGCAGGGGUGGGGUCAGGACUCUGAGCAGCGACAGAGAACACAUCUGGCCAGAUGUGUAAGGAAGACGCCACCGGCUGGCCGAGGACCGUGACCACGCAGUUGGCCACCAUCUCUCCCACGCCUGUGAACCACCCUGCUUCUUUAUUCCUCAUCCCAUAAACCCCCCAGCCCCUUGCCAUGGGGAAGGGAGGCUUGACAUUUGUUUUCCAUCUCCUCGCUUGGCUGCCUUGCCAAUAACCCCGCUCUAUGCUGCGGACCUGGGUGUCUCAGCGGUUUGACCUGCUGUGAGUGGGCAAAACAAACCCGGCUCGGUAACACUGACACCUGUUUCAGCACGGACGGACCUUGAGGACACUCUGCUAAGUGAACUGUCAGUCACGAGAAGACAAAUCCAUGUGAUUCUGUUACAGGAUAGAGUCUUGUAGAGAAGAAGGCUGGUGCCGGCUGCACAAUACCAUGAAUGCGCUUAACUCCACUGACCCUUAUGCUUAGAAUCGGUUAAGACGUGUUUUACCACAAUUGUUAAAGUUUUUAAGUGGGGUGAAGUCACGGAGUGGAUGCAAGCCCUCUGGCCUCAGCCUCCCUCUUCUCCCACUUUGGGCUUUGCAGUUUGACCCGAAUUCCUAACCCACUGGUGAUACUCUGCAGGUCUACACCUGGGGAGGUUUGCCAAUUCUGCUUCCCCUCCCUGGGGUUCUUUCCCUGCUUUUUCCCAUCUUUUGACCGAACCCACUCAAAUGCUGUGAGAUGGUUGGAUGGCAUCAUGGACUCAAUGGACGUUGAGUUUGAGCAAACUCUGGGAGGUGGUGAAAGACAGGGGAGCCUGGCAGGCUGCGGUCCAUGGGGUGGCAAUGAGCCAGACAUGACUCAGCAGUGGAGCAGCGACAGCUCCGAGGGUUGCAGGUGUCUCUCUGGGCCCCCUCUUCAUCAUGCCUGGAUCUCUACAGCCGCCCUCUCCAUGAUGUGUUGGCCACAUGUUUGCCUGUCUACACGUGUCUCCCCAGUAGACGUGGGCUGCGUGGGGCAGGGUGCCUGAAGGAAAACCUCUCGCCUGGUGCCCGCUUCAUCCUGGAACAGCUAAGAUGGUGUUAAUUCCACGGUAGCAGCAGUUUCCUUGACCACCCCGUGUAAGACUCACAGCCACAAACGGGGGAGCAGGGGCAAUCCUGAGUUGCCACGUUCGCCACUGUCCAUGGUGUAAAUACUCCCGUCCUGGUUCAUUUCAAGCUAACGUUGUGACGUCACCGAACCCAGAGUCGGGAAGAGAUGCAUGUGAUCAGCUCUCCUGAGUAACCCAAACCGGUUCCGGCAAUGAGAUGCCGCUUCACACAUCUCAUCAGCAGAGCACUAAGCCAGACAAUACCGAGGGUUUAAUAUGAAGAUGUGUUAAGUGCUGGUGGGCGUGGAAACUGAUUCAGCCGCUGUGGAGAGCAGGGCGGUAUUAUUUGGUGGGAUGCUGGUAGUCUGCAAUCCAAAAAUGUGUGCGGUUUUCUCUCUGGAGAUGUGUAAACAGAGCUUCUUGCAACGUUGUUGGGAAGAGCCAGAAAGUGGAAGCAACCUAAAUGUCCAUCAAUAGGAAAAUGUAUAAAUAAUCAUGAAACAGUCAUUGAGCGGGAGAAUGCACUACAGCAUUCUUAAAAUUAAUACACUAAUACAUUUAUCAGGAUGGCUAUAUCUUAGAAGGCAUAAUGUGGAAUAAAAAAAUCAAGCUUUAGGAUGUUAUGUGAUGCAUAACAGAGAACUUCUGUAGAAGUUUUAAAUGCAUAAAAUGCUACCCAGUGAUAUGAUACAGAGAUAUAUAUUCACUGAAACAUGAUGAAAAAUUAUUUUAAAUAGAGUAGACAAAUACAUCUGAAAUUUAUGAUAAUAUUGCUCCUGGGGAGAGAGAAAGGAGCUUGAAACUGGGGAUGGAUGUAAAGGGUACUUCAUCUUUAUUAUAUUAUUCUAGCUCCUUUAAAUAUUAAAAAAUAGUGAUUUGAAAUAAAAAUGACAACAUUUUAAUGGUUUAAAUCCUGUAUUCUGACAAAUAGGGCAUUGUACUGGUUACAUUUUUCUUUAUGUUUCUUGAUAUUUCAAAAAGUCCUUCAAAGCAUCAGGGCACAAGCUCUUUAUGACAUGAGAUUAACUCCAUCCCUGUUCACUGGCAAAUCUCACACACCACGUCCUCAGGCAGAGAGCAUGACCAGGUGGGUCCUUUCCUCGCAAGUGAUGUGCCCCCUUCUCCAGGAAGCCCCUCUUGACGUCCUCCUCUGGGCUCCUGGUGGCACUUCAUGAAUGUAGCUUUGGUGACACUUGUCACACUGAUUGUACAGUAAUGUAAUGUUUCCAGCUGGAGCUGGGGUCAUCCCAAAGGUUCUCUUCACAUGUCUGGAUUGGAAAGACUCAAACAGCUUGGAAGUGGGGUGCCUGGGGUUUCUGAGACACUUCUAUCUUUCUAGACAGAUCCACAGAUGAUGAAGAUAGAUCGGUAGAUGCAGAUGGGUAAUGGCUAAGUAGGUAGAUAGAGUGAAGACAGAGAUAGAUGAAUGAAUGAUAAAGAUGGAUGAUAAAUAAAAGACAGAUAGAUAGCCCUUCCAGUAUCCUUGCCUGGGAAAUCUCAUGGGCAGAGUAGCCUGGUGGGCUGUUCCCUGGGGUCGUAGAAGAGUUGGGCACAACUGAGUGACUAGACAGGUGUAAAUGGAAGAUAGAGAUACUGGGGUAUGUUGUAAAUGUGCCAUCUCUUACUCUAGAACCAACUGCUACACACUCAGGAAUUUUGUGAGCUGGUCACCAAACCAUCAGUAACUUGAAAUUGACGGUGAUGAGAGUAUUUCCAUCACAGAAAUAAACUAUACGUCAGGUCUGUUUUUGAGAGGGAGCAAGCUUAUCUGCAUCACUGGGUGUGGAUAAAGAAAUAUUUAUUUUCUCCAUUCUGUGUAAAUAUAUCCAGUUCUCCCAGCUUUGUCCACUGAGCCAAGACGAAAAGGUGAAGGGAGGUAAAACCUCCUCCCACUGCCUUUUAGGGAAUAGUCGCCUCGUCUGCCGAGGGUGGUCACCUCGCCCCCGUGCUCACCGAACCUCUAGCAGCUCCAGAAGGGAGCAGCCGCCUCUGCAGUCAGCUGAGGCCUUGCCACAAAGUCACCCCCUGAUAUCUGUUCAGAGUCAGAGGAAUAGAGAGGAAGUAAUUAUUAUUUACACUUCUAUUGAAAAGGCUUCACUUAAAACUGAAAGGAAACCCCACAAUUGGCAACGAGGUUAAAAAAACAAAAGACACUGAGCAAAAAUAGUUUC
Bos taurus (domestic cattle) is the source of this 4276-nucleotide long non-coding RNA. NCBI's taxonomy places the organism in Eukaryota, Metazoa, Chordata, Mammalia, Artiodactyla, Bovidae. The record is from Ensembl.